This 276-nucleotide long non-coding RNA is filed under the name Lathyrus oleraceus (garden pea). RNAcentral describes it as "Pisum sativum (pea) long non-coding RNA (PSAT_LNC005381)". Lineage: Eukaryota; Viridiplantae; Streptophyta; Magnoliopsida; Fabales; Fabaceae. The record is from RNAcentral.
GAAUUGUAGUAUUCAAAAUCCUUGAUUAAUUUUAACCUUUUCUCGUUUAAGAUCGUAUUAGUAAUUUUAUAUGAUUAAUGAAGGAAAAUUGCAAAUAAAUAAAAGGAUAGUGUUAGAAAGAUUGCAUCAGUGAUUUAUACAUAUUUGGCUUAAGGUUGGCCUAGUCUUAUCCCCAACGUGUCUUCUUGAGAGAUUCACUAUAAACUUUGAGCUUUUUAAGAUUAUACCCACAGACCAUUAAUAUAAAUUUAUCCCCAUUUAAAUGACAACUUUUAC